CUUUGAAAUCAACACGCCAUUAACGGUGUAUACAUGUGUGAAACUGGGUCAGAGAAAACAUGCAGUUAUUGCUCUGAAUAUACGCGAAUAUUAAAAAUGCAUGGCGGAUUUAUUAACUGUUACGGAUAACCUCCAGCAGUAAGAAAUAUAAAGAUUCACUGCAGUUUUGACUAUGCCCAACAAGUAUUGAACCCAUACUAUGCUCAGCAAGUAGGGUUCUUGUAUUUUAAGUCAACACAUAAAUGCAGAUUCUUUAGAGUUGCUGUGAAUCCUCAUGCAGAUUCUUUGGAGCUGCUGUGAAUCCUCAUGCAGUACAGUACUGCUGUUGGAAGAGGAGCAAACAGUGUGGUAUAUAUGGUCCACCAUCACUUCAAGCAUCAUGGCUAUGGAGAAAAGAAUGUUUCAUUACAUAUGCACAAUUAUAGUGGACAAAAUAAGAAAAGUUGUAAUAAGCUAUGGAAUGUGGCUUGUUAUGACGGGUCUACAUGAUGAAUUGGAGUACAACCUGAUGGAGGCCGGGCAUACAGAAUUCAGUCCUGAACAUGUUUAGGCAGGGGGGUGGCAUGACAGGCAAAUUCACCAGUCGUAUUACCAUUCCUGAGCUUGAUGCCAAUCGACAGUGGUACCUGUAUAAUGAAAUAGCACCCCUUUGCAGCAACAGCAAUGUAUGCCCAAAACCAGCAGUGCCAAAGCCAUUAAAAUUGAGAACUCAAGUCAUUUAAAACGAAGAAUGAAUGGGAAAAAAUGAUAAUAAUACAGAGAAAGAGCUCUGAAAUUUUCAUUAAUUUGAAAGUGUUUUUGAUUUUUUGAAGAUGUACUAGACCCAAAUUCCAUAUAUUUGAAUAUGAACAAAUGUUACAUAUAGUUUAUGUAAAUAUUGAAUUAAUAACUUUAAAGUGUCAACAGUAAUAUGCAUUUGUUAAAUAUUGACACACUAUAUACAUGUAAGGCUGAACACAGUAUAAAUGUGAAAUUCCUUUAAAACACUGGAAGUUAUUCAAUAAAAAUUAUUGUAGUAAUGUACAUUUUUUUCAUUACGAAAGUUAGAUUAUAUAGAUCUACGAAUAUUUUCGGCUGUAUUCAAACUGCAUGUAAUCAUUUCAGUCGGCAGUAUCAUGUUUAUUUUCCCUUUUCAUGAUCAAUUAAUUUAUCCUGUCUGAAAUCACAAAAUAUGUAUAAUUUGUAAAACAAACAUUGAAUUAUUGUGGAAACGAUUUAGUUUUUGUAUGCCUAAUUAUAUAUUUCUGCCGUUAGUAUCAUCUAACUUUUUAAUACGAUCAAUACAUUAAAUAAGACAGUUUUACUUUUUAAUACGAUCAAGACAUUAAAUAAGACAGUUUUCUAAAACUAUUACUGUGUAUUAAAUGAGAUUAUGUAGUAUUAUGUUUACUGAAUUAACUGCGUAACCAUGGAAACAUUUUUCUGUUGUUCUAUAUGUCUUGAAAAAAACAACAUUGUUUGAAGAACACUUUUCAUUAAUGCAUUUUUUUUUAAAUUUUUACAUGUAAUGGUAAAUGCUGAAAGUGUUCUACAAUAACUUACCAGAAACGUCAUUAUUGUCUCAUUGAAGAAUAUACUGCAACUCCAUUGUAACCAUAGCAACAGAAAUAUAUUGUAUUAUUUAUGAAUAAUGAUCUUCACAAACAAAUUACAUAUGUUAUUUUUCUAAAAGAAUGACCUAAAUUGGUUUUAUUCCAUAAAAAUCAGACAAAGCAAAUAUUCUCAUUUUUAUCUCCGUUUCCAUGGCAACCAUAUUUUUUUUGGCCUCAAAUAAUAGGCGUUGUUUAGGGUUAUAUCUUAGCAUAUGUGAAUGUUAAUUAUACGUUCUGAUGUAAUUGUUAUAAGAGAUUUUCCUGUUUCCAUAAAGAAAAUCAAUCGGUUGCCAUGGCAACAGCAGAAUUUCAAAUAAUUAAAAUAUGAGAUUUUGCAUUAUGAGUUGUUGAUCAUUCAUUAUAAUAAUAUUUAAAAAACAUUUGAUGUUGUGCCAUUUUAACCUAUAAGUGAACCAAGCCCUUUUUUCCUUGCUCCAGUUUCCAAAAAAUAUGAUUUCCAAGUUCCAGCUGUCUGUGUCACUGACCGACUCUGACACGUGUUUUCUCCAAUCAUCCUUUCAAAUGAAUUUCUUGAACGUUAUAUUCAUAAAAAAUAGAAUAUCGUUGAUAAAAGUUACAGUUGUUAAACCACAAAUUCCAUCCAAGCCACCUCAAAAAAUCCGAUUUUAAUUAAAUCAAGCCUAAAUCUCAAGACCGUCACGAUCGUGACGUUGAUGUCGGCCAUCUUUUUUUUGUUUUUAUGCAAAUGAGUCGUUCGCUUGCGUCCAUGACGACGAAAUUAAUACGCGUAACCCCAAGUACUCUUAAAGAUUGCAUUUCAGUAUAAGAGUUUGGAUUUUUCAAAUAGGAAACAAUUUAAAGAAGAUUUGAAAGUUGUAAUUAUAAGAAUUGAAUGGUGUUUCUCUGCGGUUCAUUGAUGUAUGAACUAUCAGGAAGCUUACACCUAAUUUUUACAUAAACACGGUGUUUUAUGCAAAUUAGGUGUAAACUUCCUGACAGUUCAUACAUAGAUGAACCGCAGAAAAACACCAUUCAAUUCUUAAUUAAUUUGCUUCCUUUUUCAAUACAUAUGGACAAUGAAGGUAAGGAAUAACGCGUUAAACGACGCCUUGUAAAAUUUAAUGCAUAUAAUAUGUCUAUUAAAUUAAUUGUUUGAAAACAUGUGGAUCAAUUAUUUUUUGCUGUCAGUUUUGUAUAGAUACGCUUACCAUAUAAUGCAUGCAUAAAAUCGUUCCCUUUUUCGUUGAUAUUUUUAGUUUUACUUUUACGAAAUCAAGUAUUAUAGAUUUGAUACUUCUUCGUUCAUACACACUCUAUCACUUUGAUAAUUAAUCAUAUUACCGUACUUCUCUCCAUAAUUCAGUGGUGCCAUAUUGGGAGUAAACUAGACCUAGAAUAAAGGCUUCCAGUGUGUGUUCUACCAAAGUGAUGCUAAUGUUCAUAUGGAAAACAUGUACGAUAAAAUUUGCGAAGUAAUAAUAAUGCUUGCGUAUUUCUUAUUUUUGGGGUGGAUCACUUAUUGUUACUCUGUUGAAAUAUCGUAUUAUGCAAUCAACUUUCAGGAGAUUCAUCACCAUUGAUAUCUUACCAAGUACACUUCAUAUUUUGUGUAUAGCCCUGAUGGAAAAAUCAAAGAAAUAUACGAUGUUUUUGAAAGAGUAUGUCUGUAUUUCUUUCAUGUACAUUUGUAGUAGCAGUAUACAUCCUCUGCAUGCGGUUACAAAGACAAUAUCUAUGUUAAAGUGACAGUUUACGAAAGGAUGGUUAGUAAAUGUUAUCUUUAUACGUUUUCAUUCCGGCUCCAUUACUUCAAUAAAUCGCCGCAUAA
Long non-coding RNA from Mercenaria mercenaria, 3381 nucleotides. RefSeq lists it as uncharacterized. The record is from RefSeq and is a predicted model, not a curated record. The transcript is spliced from 5 exons. NCBI's taxonomy places the organism in Eukaryota, Metazoa, Mollusca, Bivalvia, Venerida, Veneridae.